UGGAGCUUCCAGAUACCCUGUUCU
This 24-nucleotide non-coding RNA is filed under the name Rattus norvegicus (Norway rat). The record is from RNAcentral. Lineage: Eukaryota; Metazoa; Chordata; Mammalia; Rodentia; Muridae.